This 553-nucleotide ribosomal RNA is filed under the name Pythium sp. RNAcentral describes it as "partial large subunit ribosomal RNA". It matches the Rfam family "Eukaryotic large subunit ribosomal RNA", at positions 441 to 835 of the family's 3401-position model. The record is from RNAcentral. Lineage: Eukaryota; Oomycota; Peronosporomycetes; Pythiales; Pythiaceae.
UUCAUUGGCGCGUGAGUGCGUGCAGCGUUUUGGAAGCGGUCUCCGCUCCUGUCGUUGUUGUGCAUUUGCUUGCUGGUGCCCUGUGCUGUGGUGGACGUCAGAGUCAGUUUGUAUGUUGCGGGAAAUGGUUAUCAGGGAGGUAGGUCGCUUCGGUGGCUGUUAUAUCCUGGUAACUAGUCGUCGUGGCUGAGACUGAGGUGCCUACAACGCGCUUUCGAGUCUGCGGGCUUCUCGUGUGGCUGUUUGCUUUGAUAGCUUGCUAUGUUGGUGAAUAAGUCGUGCGAUUGAGACCUGUAGUAACUUGUUGCCGUUCGGGACUUUGACGAAAUGGAGCGAUCCGACCCGUCUUGAAACACGGACCAAGGAGUCUAACAUGUGUGCAAGUGUUAGGGUGUGGAAACCCCAGCGCGGAAUGAAAGUAAAGGACAGCCUAGCUGUCUGAGGUAGGAAUCCUUUGUUUACAGGGGAGGCACUAUCGACCGAUCAUGAACCUUCGUGGUGAAAGAUUUGAGUUUGAGCACAUAUGUUGGUACCCGAAAGAUGGUGAACUAUG